AAGUCUAAAACGACUCUCGGCAACGGAUAUCUCGGCUCUCGCAUCGAUGAAGAACGUAGCGAAAUGCGAUACUUGGUGUGAAUUGCAGAAUCCCGUGAACCAUCGAGUCUUUGAACGCAAGUUGCGCCCUAAGCCUUCUGGCCGAGGGCACGUCUGCCUGGGUGUCACA
Molecule: ribosomal RNA, 169 nt
Filed under: Myagrum perfoliatum
Lineage: Eukaryota; Viridiplantae; Streptophyta; Magnoliopsida; Brassicales; Brassicaceae
Description: 5.8S ribosomal RNA
Rfam family: 5.8S ribosomal RNA
About the family: 5.8S ribosomal RNA (5.8S rRNA) is a component of the large subunit of the eukaryotic ribosome. It is transcribed by RNA polymerase I as part of the 45S precursor that also contains 18S and 28S rRNA.
Source: RNAcentral